RNAcentral lists this ribosomal RNA (628 nucleotides) under Raphidascaris sp. Asca06. Its description in RNAcentral is "SSU rRNA". It matches the Rfam family "Eukaryotic small subunit ribosomal RNA", at positions 560 to 1195 of the family's 1831-position model. The record is from RNAcentral. Lineage: Eukaryota; Metazoa; Nematoda; Chromadorea; Rhabditida; Raphidascarididae.
UCUGGCCCCAGCAGCCGCGGUAAUUCCAGCUCUCAAAGUGUAUAUCGUCAUUGCUGCGGUUAAAAAGCUCGUAGUUGGAUCUGCGCCUCAGGACUCGGUCCGCCCAUUGGGUGAGAACUGGGCUCCUGGGCUAGUUUUGCUGGUUUUCCCUACGUUGCCUUCAUCGGUAGCAUAGGGUGGCUAGCGAGUUUACUUUGAAAAAAUUAGAGUGCUUCACGCGGGCUUAUGUCUGAAUACUCGUGCAUGGAAUAAUAGAAUAGGAUCUCGGCUCUAUUUUGUUGGUUUUCUGAUCUGAGAUAAUGGUUAAGAGGGACAGACGGGGGCAUUCGUAUCGCUGCGUGAGAGGUGAAAUUCUUGGACCGUAGCGAGACGCCCGACUGCGAAAGCAUUUGCCAAGAAUGUCUUCAUUAAUCAAGAACGAAAGUCAGAGGUUCGAAGGCGAUCAGAUACCGCCCUAGUUCUGACCGUAAACGAUACCAACUAGCGUUCCGUCGGCGGUAAAUACGCCUUGACGGGCAGCUCCCCGGAAACGAAAGUGUUUCGGUUCCGGGGGAAGUAUGGUUGCAAAGCUGAAACUUAAAGAAAUUGACGGAAGGGCACCACCAGGAGUGGAGCCUGCGGCUUAAUU